CAGAUUUGGCAUCAGGAUCACGGCUGAAGAGUCCACAUUACUGUGGCCUUCUAAAGUAUGAAGCUGAGAACUUGCAGUCAUAUUUGUUCGUUACAAACACUCCUCUGGACACAGACCAGCCGUUGUGUCAAACAGAAUAAAACAGCUGUCCUUAUAUUAUAAAUGCUGCUGGAGCUUCUACCCCCUUACCACCUAAUCUCCUCUCUGGUAAAUCAAAGUAAGGAAACACAAGAUCAGCAGGUAUGAACUCACCACCUACUGACCAAUCAGUUCUGUGGAAUAACGCCACUAUCCCUGGCAGAUCUCUGUGCAGACAGUGGGAGGGUCUGAAGUCUUUGUUUCCCUGAUGAGCUUCAUGUUGAACAUGAACAGCUUGGCAGGAUGAAGAAAACGAGACAAAACUUCAGUGUCUAAGAACAGGAUCAGAGCCUGAAGUGAGAAAUUCCUCCAUGGUCUACAUCCAGACUUCUUCAGUAGAGCCAAACUGGAUCAGACUGUCUGCCGGACUCUUACACACAUUCAGAGCUCAACAUAUACGAGCCAUCUGAGCUUUGUGUGACACUAAAUAGUUGGAUCGUGUUUACUGGCAGUGUUUUGUUGCUGUUUCAGACUCUGAAUCUGAAGCUCAGCAGUUUGUUUCCUGUUUUUCUGUCUUUAAAUUGUUCCUUACAGGUUCCUCCAUGUUUCCUCACUGUUCCUCUGAUCCAUGCAGAUCAUCAUUACAGGCAUUCAGCUUUCUUCCUCUACUCCUUUUCUCUGUGUGCCAUGUCCUGUUUGAAUCAUCCAGCUGUAGUCAGGAGCAGCUGCUCCAUUACAAACACCACAGCAGAAGAACAACACUGGAUCAGAUUAAAUUCAUAGAACAAUAAUUAUUAUAAUAUUUUAGAUCAAAACCAAAUUGACAAGUUAAAAAAGGCGAGUGAGAACAAAAAGCGUUACUAUGGACCUGUGAUCAUGCUGUUUGACAUCACUGAUCAAUCACACAGAUCAAACUGAUUGUUAUGGCCCGUCUAGGGGUGGCCAGACCAUAAUACACGGGUGAUCCAUCCCUGUGUGACCGUAAGCAGCACAUCGCAUAAUAUGUACAUUUUGAUGGCGAUUCAUUUACAAUGAGUGGGUUCAACACAAAGGAAAGGAGCGACUUUAGCUUCGGGGUGGAACUAAUGGCAAUACAACAAACAAAAGGGGCUGAAGGUGUGAUGGCAAGCCGCACAGGAUAAGCGCCACACCUCAGCAUUACUUACUUCACUUUAGUUUGCUUUGCAGUCACUACUUUAAAUAUAUUCUACUCAUUGUCCAAUGUUGUUUAUUAUUUGUUUUUAUUACACCUUCCAAUGUUUGUAUGGCGUGCACACAUAUGAACACUGCAAGGUCAAAGUUCUGUUUUAUAUUAAUACAUCUUCCUGUGUUUGAGUCAGCUGGGGUUUGGCUUCUCUCCCGUCUGGCAAAGGGCUGGGAGAGCUGAAGUACCACUGACAGCCUUCAUGCUUCGUUGCCUGGAGGGUGUUUCAAGUUUGUUUAAUUGUUUUGUAUUAGUUGGUUAUAAGGCAGCCAUUUUGUUUUCCCCCGUGUGUGUCAUGUGGUUUAGCUAAACCAGUAUUUAAGUUCCCCCGUGUGUCAUUUCAGGACGUCAGUUUGUCUUAUGUUUGUUUGAGGUUUUGUUAAUUGUUAUCUUGAGCUUAGUCUAUUGAGUUGACCUCUUUUGCUGGUCUGCCUGUUUAAGUUCUGGCUUUCUUAAAUAUCUUUUUCUACGUUUGGGUCAAUAAAACCCCAUUUUGUAAAUUAAACACCUGUGUCCUUUAUGCUUUACUGCUUGGUCCCUGAGACAAGGAUAUAAACAAACUACUCAAAGAAAUUAAACCAAAUGACAGCAGCUUACCUCCAAAACUAACAAAAACAGGAGAAAACGGUAAUCAAAUAAAAAGGCGGUCCACCCCUACAUGCACCUGUGUAAAACGAGCAUCACUAGACUGCUGGCUGUGAUGGGCCGAGGAUGAAUGGCCGUCCAUGGUGGAGUCAUCAAAUACGUUGUCUACAUGUAGUUAGCCAAUCUGCAGGUACCGUCUCCGGGAUCCACCAAUGACAGAAAUGCACCUGCACACUUAAAUUUGCACAUGAGAGACAACAUUAAGACAGCAGUCGUAACACUGAUUGAUCAGCCGUCAGAGGAGUCGGAUCAAUGGAGCUGC
Molecule: long non-coding RNA, 2189 nt
Organism: Pelmatolapia mariae (spotted tilapia)
Lineage: Eukaryota; Metazoa; Chordata; Actinopteri; Cichliformes; Cichlidae
Exons: 4
Source: RefSeq, a predicted model, not a curated record